This is a long non-coding RNA of Mauremys reevesii (Reeves's turtle), 804 nucleotides long. RefSeq lists it as uncharacterized. The transcript is spliced from 3 exons. The record is from RefSeq and is a predicted model, not a curated record. NCBI's taxonomy places the organism in Eukaryota, Metazoa, Chordata, Testudines, Geoemydidae.
UGCAGGGCUAUUCCAGGUAGCAACAGGUUUGUGGGAUUGCAUAGGGGUGGGGUGUAAGCCUAGAUGUGAUGGUGACAGAUAGAGAGAUCCAGCUGGUGAGCAGGUUACAUAUCUCAGGUCGGUGUAUUUGAUCUAUUGCUACCAACAAAUCUCAUGAGGUCUGUUUAAAGUAACAGCCUGCGUCAGAGCCGGGCAGCUGUCUGGAUGCCUCUCCCUUCCCCACGCGCCAUCCAGUCUCACUCUCCUUCAGCUUCUCCAACACUCUCAUCACCUUCGCACGUGGAUGGGAAUGCCGUCAUCUCUGCUUCCCUCCAACACCGUUACGGUAUCUGCAUUCCAGCAGGCCCCUGGUGAGGAGACGCUCAGGCGGAUUCCACCCCUCCCUGCCUCUCUCCAGCUGCUUCACUGCUCUCCUUGAGAACAGGUGGAGCCUGCAUGUCUCAUCAAGUGGAAGGAAGAAACCUCUGGACAAUGGGGUUUAAAGAAACUGGUAGCUGCAACCUGCAUCUCUCCCUUCUACUCAGAGUGGCCUGCUCUCCCAGAAAUGGGGCCGCGUCAGAAACAUGAAUGAGCCGGCGGUGUGGUGUCAUUACUGGAAGCAACAGCAGCGUUUCCUGUUGGUUAGGAUGUGAGAGUGGGAUUUAGGACUCACGGGUGCUUUCAUUGGCAUUAUGUGAUAGUAGGGUCUCCAAGGGACUGGAAGCCAGGACACCAAGGGCCUAUUCCCAGUCAUUGCCUUGCUUUGUGCCUCAGUUUACCCAUUUGUAAAAUGGAUAUCAGUGUGUAUUGCCCACACUUAGUAAA